AGCCCUCUGUGCCAGGCUGCUUACACAGAUUUUCCAGCAUCUUGAUGCAGAAAGAAAAUCUGUGACUGACUAGAGACAUAAUUUGUCAUUCUGUCUGGAAGUAGAAUGUCUCCUUUUGGUCUUCCAUAGCUCAUCGCAGUUCUAGACUCCGCUGAAUCAGAAUCUUCUCCUUUCAAGGCCGAAUCUCAAGACCAUCGAAAGCACCUGAUAUGACAUCACCAACACCUGCCUCAAAAGUGUCCCGAUAUUCUGUGUGAACUGCCAUUUGGUAUCUUCGACUUGGAAUUUUGAGUCAAUCUGCUGAACCAGGCUCCAGGAUGGGGAUAGCAUUUUUUGCUCGACUAUUUUAUCCUAUACUGGAAGAAAUUUAUGAAGAAGUCAAUUUAAGGGAGUAAAAAACCAUUCCCGGAAGAGUAAGAGACAGAGAGAAGGCAGCAGAGACUAAAAUUCAUGGUUGCAUGGAGUAGAUGGAAAAAAUAUGUAACACUAAGAAGAAAUGAUUGUUUGACCACAAGGAACCUUGAAUGUUUGGAGCAUGAGCUGGUGUUGUUAAUGGAUGACUAAUGAAGGCACAUGAUGGAAACAACUUGCCAGGAAGCAAACAUUUUUCCAAGAAGAAGCUUCCUGUAAUAACUCCUCUCCUACCUUCUACUCAGACUCUGCAUUUAGAAAUACACUGACACAUAGCAUUUAGCCUUGAUAGGUGAACUGCAGAUUUAAUAUGCUAAUAAAUUUCUCAGUGAAUUAAA
This is a long non-coding RNA of Suricata suricatta (meerkat), 749 nucleotides long. RefSeq lists it as uncharacterized. The record is from RefSeq and is a predicted model, not a curated record. The transcript is spliced from 2 exons. NCBI's taxonomy places the organism in Eukaryota, Metazoa, Chordata, Mammalia, Carnivora, Herpestidae.